RNAcentral lists this ribosomal RNA (497 nucleotides) under uncultured bacterium. RNAcentral describes it as "partial 16S ribosomal RNA". It matches the Rfam family "Bacterial small subunit ribosomal RNA", at positions 28 to 507 of the family's 1533-position model. The record is from RNAcentral.
GAUGAACGCUGGCGGCGUGCCUAAUACAUGCCAGUCGAGCGAACGGACGAGAAGCUUGCUUCCCUGAUGUUAGCGGCGGACGGGUGAGUAACACGUGGAUAACCUACCUAUAAGACUGGGAUAACUUCGGGAAACCGGAGCUAAUACCGGAUGAUAUUUUGAACCGCAUGGUUCAAAAGUGAAAGACGGUCUUGCUGUCACUUAUAGAUGGAUCCGCGCUGCAUUAGCUAGUUGGUAAGGUAACGGCUUACCAAGGCAACGAUGCAUAGCCGACCUGAGAGGGUGAUCGGCCACACUGGAACUGAGACACGGUCCAGACUCCUACGGGAGGCAGCAGUAGGGAAUCUUCCGCAAUGGGCGAAAGCCUGACGGAGCAACGCCGCGUGAGUGAUGAAGGUCUUCGGAUCGUAAAACUCUGUUAUUAGGGAAGAACAUAUGUGUAAGUAACUGUGCACAUCUUGACGGUACCUAAUCAGAAAGCCACGGCUAACUACGUG